CAUUCUAUAGUUGGACGAGGCAGUUCCACCCAAAACACGGUAUUGGUGCAUCCUCUUUUUUUAUUUAUUUAUUUAUUUAUUUAUUAUUAUACGUAUCUUGAAGUUAUCCUUCCUGCAGUAUGUACCAUUCUUCUUUAAAACAGGACUGGGCGGUUCAUCCUCUAGGAAGAAUUGAAGCUCCAACACCAGAGAUUGUUGUUACUAAAGCUACAAAUCCAUUUGAUCGUAUAGAAGCAAGUAAUGCAUGAUACAAAAAAGUUUUCUCUGUUCCUACAGGACCAUAUAUAAAAAAGGCUCCAGGUUUAUUUUGAAAUAUUCUAUCAAGAAUUAUAUUAUAUGAUUCUCGCUACUCAUUGUUUUUCUUCCGAUGAUAAAUCCUCUUCUCUAAUAAUUAUAUUUCUUUCAAAAUGAGAAUCAUGAGCCUCCCUAUUAGCAGAUGAAGC
RNAcentral lists this long non-coding RNA (443 nucleotides) under Nicotiana benthamiana. Its description in RNAcentral is "long non-coding RNA (NBEN_LNC026189)". The record is from RNAcentral. Lineage: Eukaryota; Viridiplantae; Streptophyta; Magnoliopsida; Solanales; Solanaceae.